UACGAAGGGUGCAAGCGUUGUUCGGAAUUACUGGGCGUAAAGGGUUCGUAGGCGGGAAGAUAAGUUAUGUGUGAAAUCCCUGGGCUUAACCUAGGACGUGCACAUAAAACUGUUUUUCUUGAGUAUCGGAGGGGAUAGUGGAAUUGCUGGUGUAGGAGUGAAAUCCGUAGAUAUCAGCAGGAACACCAGAGGCGAAGGCGACUGUCUGGCCGAAUACUGACGCUGAGGAACGAAAGCGUGGGGAGCAAAC
This 250-nucleotide ribosomal RNA is filed under the name uncultured bacterium. RNAcentral describes it as "partial 16S ribosomal RNA". It matches the Rfam family "Bacterial small subunit ribosomal RNA", at positions 524 to 773 of the family's 1533-position model. The record is from RNAcentral.